AAUGGUGCGGAUUUCUUGAUUCAAGCCAACACAUGUAAGCGCUUAAAACCUCACGAUGAUAACGAUGAUGUUUUUGAACGUGCUGAGGUUGUUACUGAAGGAAGACAAACUAGUUUGGAGACAAAAAAUAAUGUUGAUGCAAAUAGAAAGAAAUCUGGUCGUGGAAGAGGGAGUUCUGGUUCAAGCAGAGGCCGUGGUUCCAAAUCUAAUGAUCAGACCAGAACACAAAUUUCUUCUUCAACAGUUUCGGCUUCAAAUGGUCAGAAUGAGAAUGAUGGUAGACUCAAAGAUCCGUUUCGUAAUGAUAAUGGUGCUUCAUUAGAGGAGGAGAUUGCAUCUUUACGUGCAAAAGUUGUUGUGUUGGA
This is a long non-coding RNA of Medicago truncatula (barrel medic), 365 nucleotides long. RefSeq lists it as uncharacterized. The transcript is spliced from 4 exons. The record is from RefSeq and is a predicted model, not a curated record. Lineage: Eukaryota; Viridiplantae; Streptophyta; Magnoliopsida; Fabales; Fabaceae.